Molecule: ribosomal RNA, 763 nt
Filed under: Streptococcus sp. VA10345_05
Lineage: Bacteria; Bacillati; Bacillota; Bacilli; Lactobacillales; Streptococcaceae
Description: bacterial SSU rRNA
Rfam family: Bacterial small subunit ribosomal RNA
Source: RNAcentral
GAUGAACGCUGGCGGCGUGCCUAAUACAUGCAAGUAGAACGCUGAAGGAAGGAGCUUGCUCUUUCCGGAUGAGUUGCGAACGGGUGAGUAACGCGUAGGUAACCUGCCUGGUAGCGGGGGAUAACUAUUGGAAACGAUAGCUAAUACCGCAUAACAGNAGAUGUUGCAUGANANCUNNUUAAAAGGUGCAANUGCACCACUACCAGAUGGACCUGCGUUGUAUUAGCUAGUUGGUGAGGUAACGGCUCACCAAGGCGACGAUACAUAGCCGACCUGAGAGGGUGAUCGGCCACACUGGGACUGAGACACGGCCCAGACUCCUACGGGAGGCAGCAGUAGGGAAUCUUCGGCAAUGGACGGAAGUCUGACCGAGCAACGCCGCGUGAGUGAAGAAGGUUUUCGGAUCGUAAAGCUCUGUUGUAAGAGAAGAACGAGUGUGAGAGUGGAAAGUUCACACUGUGACGGUAUCUUACCAGAAAGGGACGGCUAACUACGUGCCAGCAGCCGCGGUAAUACGUAGGUCCCGAGCGUUAUCCGGAUUUAUUGGGCGUAAAGCGAGCGCAGGCGGUUAGAUAAGUCUGAAGUUAAAGGCUGUGGCUUAACCAUAGUACGCUUUGGAAACUGUUUAACUUGAGUGCAGAAGGGGAGAGUGGAAUUCCAUGUGUAGCGGUGAAAUGCGUAGAUAUAUGGAGGAACACCGGUGGCGAAAGCGGCUCUCUGGUCUGUAACUGACGCUGAGGCUCGAAAGCGUGGGGAGCAAACA